GAUGACACCGCCAAAGAUCACUUUAUUGCCACGAUGUCGAUCGGUUACAGAAAAUGCGUGUCAGCAUCCAAGAACUCUCAAAUAAAUCUAGGCUAAAGAUCUGAGUUCCUCUCCUGAGACGCACCCAAAAACCUAGCCUACGCCCCUCUAUUUAAAGAGCUAAACAGCACCCUAAAAAUAGAGCCCAUCUCUGAAACAAAACAGACGGCAGAAUCAUGCAUGAGCCUGGCCGCUCACCUCGUUGCUGCAUGGGCCACGCUGGGCCUGCUCCUCCGGCCUCUAGCCUAUGUACGCUAAGCUGCAGACAUGCAACGAGCAAUGUCUGCUCUUGCGCGUGAGCCUGGCUGACCGCCUCGCACGCCGCCUUCCAUCGAUCCGCACGCCUGCCACAUGGGCCGCCCACGCUGGACAGGGCCGCACCCGCUCGACUCGCCCGAUCGACCUGUUGCCGCGGCUGUGCGCGCAAACACAUGUGCACGCCUUACACCUCGUGACGUCUUCAGUACCGUACCGUACAUCUCCGGUACAAGCCAUGUACGACAAACCGGUGCCCUCCCGGAUCAUCGUAUCCUCUACUUUCAUUGUUCCUUCGCACGAACGCCCCGCAUGACCAUGAUCCCCCGGACCUCAGCUUCUCUAAGCUUCGUCCCUCGAUCCUGUCAUCGACCACGUUUGUCCAGCUCUGGCAACACCUGAAAGUGAACUCAACAAAUAACCAGUAUGAGCACAAGUCCACGACUUGACUCAGGGUAAGUUUCACACAACUCACACCAUAUUUCACACAAGUAGCUAAUGGAUCAUCACACCAUUAGCAAAGUAUUCAGCCCAAUAUAAGAUACCAAUAACCCCACAAGUAUCCAUAUCAUCCAGAGUAUCCAAAUCAAUGUCUACUAAGCACUUGCCAAUGUUGCACAUCACACAUGACUUCACAAUCUCCCCCUUGAUGAAAACAUUGGCAACAUCACAUAAACACCAAACAUAGAUUGGCAUACACAUUCACUUAACUUUCAGAUUUUCAGAGUUUUGAAAAGACAAAAGAGAAAAAAAAACUGAAGAUCAACCAAAGAUCCAAAAAAAACAAUAGAAAAUUGUGUAAAGAAAAUGUGGUGUGAAUAUGUGUUGGAAAUCUCUCCCCCUUUGACAAUGAAUUUCAUCAAAACCACAAAACGAACUCUCCCCCUAAACAGAAAUUCUAUAAGCUAGAAAAAGGAAAAUCUUUUUGUAUUACGUCAUAUUUCAAUUUUUUUUAAUGAGCAUUAUAAGACAUCAUGAAAAUGACAAUUCUACGUCCAAGUCAUGCAAAAAGUAUUUGUACUUGACAUGUAUACAAGUAUAAUGCAAUCCACACGUGACCAAGAAUCAAGUAUUGUUACGAUUUAUUACAAGGCAUGGUCUUCCUUUAUCAACUAUGUCAAUGCUUGAAUACACAAUCAUUUGAGCAAAUUAUAUUAAAAGCAUUUAUAAAAAUAUGAAACUUAAUUUCCAAAGAAGUUGUAUGCCAUGUCAAUUCAACCUUGCCAAGCCUAUAUUCAAAGUACCAUGCCAAGCCUAUGUUUAAAGUACAAUAACAAUCAGAAGCUUAAGACAACGGUAGGCAAUCAGAAGCUUAAGACAAAGGUUUCAAGAACAACAACAACUUCCAAGUUCAUACCAAAGUGCAAUGGUAAGCAGUCUCGUGAAGAUGCAGUGUGACAUUGGCAUAUCUUUUAUAAAACUUGCUUGACAGCAUAUUUUUAAUCUUGAUACUUUAAUAGAUUCAUCAUCGAUAGUAAUUGAGUAACCAAGACCAACACAGCUAACAAAGUUUAACCAUGACAAGAUUUAGUUCAAGUUAUCAUUCGUAUUAGAAAGUCAUGUGAUAAACUACCUUAUACGAACAUACAUGUAAAAUGACAAUUUCCUCAAAGCAUAAACAUGAUUGCAAAAUGACAUUCCAGGAUAAAAUACAAUGCUCAUUACUUUUUCAUUUUUUUAAUUUAUCAAAAAAAACUGAAAAAGAAGCAACAUGAAAAUACCAAUUCUAACUAGAAACCCAAGUGAAAAAGUAUUUUACAUAUUUUACAAAAAGACUCAAGUCCCCCUCAAACCAUCCCGUAUGGUUUGAUUACUCCAAGUUCACCUCGAAGAAAAGCAAACCGAGAAGAAUCCAAUGGUUUAGUGAAAAUGUCUGCCAAUUGACGUUCAGUAUCUAUAAAAUGUAGCACAACAUUUCUUUUUUCAACAUGAUCUCUAAGAAAAUGAUAUCUUAUGUCUAUGUGCUUAGUUCGAGAAUGUUGCACAGGGUUUUUAGCAAUACAUAUAGUACUAGUGUUAUCACAAUAAAGUGGUACACUUUCUAGAGUAACCCCAUAAUCUUUCAUUGUAGCUAUUAUCCAUAAAAUCUGUGAGCAACAACAAGCAGCAGCUACAUAUUCACUUUCAGCAGUAGAUUGUGCAACAAAACUUUGUUUCUUAGAAGACCAAAGUACUAAUGAAUCACCCAAAAAUAAGCAUGUGCCAGAUGUACUCUUUCUAUCAAUUCUACAACCUCCAAAAUCAGCAUCCGAAAAUGCACGCAAUGAAAUACUCGAGGAAGCAGAAAGCCAAAAUGCCAAAAGAUUGGGUGCCAUGUAGAUACCUGAAGAUCCGCUUGACAGCUUGUAGAUGUGAUGCACGUGGAGAAGCUUGAAACCGUGCACACAAGCAUACAGAAAAUUGUAUAUCCGGUCUAGAAGCGGCGAGAUAAAGAAGUGAACCAAUCAUACUCCUAUACAUCUUUUGGUCAACAGUUUCACCUUCCUCAUCAAGAUCAAGUGACGCCGUAGAUCCCAUUGGUGUCAUAAUAGGGUUGAGGUUUUCCAUCCCAAAGUGCCAUAGAAGAUCCUUCGUAUACUUACUUUGAUGCACAAAGGUGCCAUCCUUUGUUUGUUUGAUUUGCAGUCCCAAAAAGUAAGUAAGUUCACCCAUCAUGCUCAUUUCAAAUUCCCUGCUCAUACUUUCUGAAAAUUCUGACACCAAAGCAUGAGAAGCACACCCAAAGAUAAUAUCAUCAACAUAAACUUGUACGAAAAGUUGAUCGUUGCCAUGUUUGAGUACAAAGAGUGUUUUAUCAACGUUUCCCAUGGUAAACCCCUUUCCAAUUAAAAACAUUUUCAACCUAUCAUACCAUGAACGUGGGGCUUGUUUUAAACCAUACAAAGCUUUUGAAAGUUUAUAAACAUGGUUGGGAAACUUUGGAUUCUCGAAACCAGGUGGUUGCUUAACAUAAACCUCCUCAUCAAUAAAGCCAUUAAGAAAAGCACUUUUAACAUCCAUUUGAUAAAGCUUAAAACCUUCAGAUGCAGCAAAAGUCAAUAAAAUUCUUAUAGCUUCCAAUCUAGCAACAGGAGCAAAAGUUUCAUCAAAAUCAAGACCUUCAACUUGAGUAAAACCCUGAGCAACCAACCUAGCCUUGUUGCGAACAAUAACACCAUCCUCACUUUGUUUGUUUUUGAAAACCCAACGAGUUCCAAUAAGAGUAUGACCAGAAGGAGGUGAAACAAGAGUCCAAACUUUGUUACGCUCAAAAUUUUCUAAUUCCUCAUGCAUGGCAUUGAUCCAUGAUUCAUCAGUUAAUGCAUGAGAUAUAUCUUUGGGCUCAAAAGAAGCAACAAAUGUUGAAUGAGUAUGAUAGUCAGAAUCGAUAAACCUUGACCGUGUGACUCUCUCAUCCAUGCUUCCAAUAAUCUGCUCAGGAGGGUGUCUUUUCUGAAUAUGUCGGGGUGCUGAAAUAUUUGACUCAGCAGCAUGCUCAUCCCCAACAUUUGUAGUUGAAGUAGUCUCUUGAGGAUGUCCAGCUGUAGCAGCAGUAGUUGUAGGUGUAGGAACAGCUGGAGUUUGCGCAUGGACAGCAGGGGGCACGCCAUCCUCCUCGUCAUCUUCAUCAUCUACAAAGAUUUCCUCCCCCUGAACAUAUGUUCCUGCAUCAGAAAUGCGAGGACUAGAGCCAGAACCCCAAAAGAUUGUACCCUUGAUGGACCAACUGUAUCAAGAUGUAGAAGCUGUCCUGGAGCGUUAGUCAUGACACUGGUAAUGCGUGCAUGUGAACCUGCAACCAUCUUACCAUGUCUACAAGGAGAGCAUACAAUAUCUUUUUCUCUCUUAAGUUUAGGCAAACCAUUUAUAAGAUUCAUACCACUUAUACGAGUGAGAUGAUCAAAACCAAUAUGCCCAAGUCUACGAUGCCAAAAGAAUAAAUCUGUAGAUGUAUUGGCAACUAGACACCUAAACUUAACAUUUGAAGAAGCAUGAAAAUCAGCCUUAAAAACUCUCCCAAAGCGUGAUAUCUCAAAGACAAGAUCACCCGAAGCAUCUAAAACUUUGCAAGCAUUUUUCUUAAAUGAAACUUCAAGAUCCUCAUCAAUCAUUUGUGAAACCGACAACAAGUUGUAUUUCAGAUUUUCAACCAAAGCAACAUCUUUGAACAUAAAUUUGUCGGUUACCUUUACUGUACCUUUCGCUACAACAGUAGAAGUAGAAGCAUCUCCAAAAUUUACACUCUCAGCCCGAGAUGCACGUGUGAGGGAGGAGAACCAUUUUUUAUCACCGGUCAUGUGACGAGAACAACCGGAGUCCACUAGCCAUAUGUUCUCCUUCCUCGUGCGAAGUGCCUACAAACAACAAACACAAGCCGAGGUCUCAGUACUGGGGUUAGAUAAAAAACUUUUAGGUAUCCAGUACUGAGACAUGCGGCGAGAAGGCAUUGCACGAGUUUCUUUAUACAUUGGGACAUAUUUUACAUGUCUCAUGCAGACAGUAGUAGAAGGUGACACAUUCACCUUAGGCACAAACUUCGGAGCAACGGAAUUAUGUUGAACAUAAUGUGCCUUGAAGAAAUUAGAUCUAGCUUGCUUUCUUUCUUUCUUAAUAAGUUUAGCUAGUCUAAAACAGGAACCUACAACAUGUCCAGAUUUACCACAAAAAGUGCAUUUGUACCUACAUUCAGGUUUAUCAUGUGGUGUAUCAGCUACAUUUGCACUAGGUGAAAGAGCAUUAGACAUAAUGCCGGCAGAUUUAAAAAUCACAUUGGUUGGCUUAUCAGAUGUUCCAAAAAUUCCAUUGCCAAGUGAUUUAACAACAGUGGGAGGAUUAGCCUUGAAGUGAGCAUGAGCAUUGAAACCAAGUCCUGUCUUAUUUUUACUCACUUUAGACUUAUCUAAGAUCAUAUUCAAAUUUUUAUGCCCGCUAGAAAACUUUUGCAAAGAAGCUUGUAGAUAAUUAACUUGAUGAGACAAAGCAAGACAAUUAUCACAAGCAGCAUCCAUGGCUUGUUUCCCAUUUUUACAAUUAGCACACGACAAAACCUCAUGGAUAUGUAAAGCAUUUUCAACAUGAGAAACCCUAGCAUUUGCAUCUUUCAACUUCAAGUCAAGAAUAUGACAAUUAUUACAAGAAGUUGAAUCUGUCAAAUCAGAAGUAUCCACGCUAACAUCAUUAAUUUCUUUACGUUUAUGCACAACAAGUUUCUCAUUGUUUUCUAAUGCAUUUCUAAGCUUAUCAAGAGUAUCAUCGUGAAUAGAACGCAAAGAUGUAAGCUCAGAAUAGAUAGAAUUACAAGACUUGCAAGAAUCAUCAUCAGGAAUCAUAGAUUUAAGUCUAGUAAUUUCAGAAUUCAGAGAUGCAAUUUUCAAGUCAUAUUUCUUAAUUCUUUUAGUGGCAUGAUCUAGUAAGGAGCUCAACUUGCUGGCACUUUCAAGUAAUUCAUCAUAAGACAGUUCUACCUCAUUGUUGUUGUCGCUGUUGUAGUCGUCGCAGGAGGUAGCGCUUUUGCUAGCAGCCAUAAGACACAUCCCACUAAUGUCGCGCUUGGCUUUGGUUGCAUCAUCUUCAUCGGAUUCGAUGUCCACAUCACUCAAGCAUGGUUCACCAUAUUCAUCGAUGACCGAGAAAAUACUGUGUGCCACAGCUCGAGCAAAGUCACCCCUCUUCUUAUUCUUGAUGUUGAAAGUGUGCUUAUUCUUUUUGUUCUCCUUGACAGAAUUAUCCAUAUCCCCUUCUUUCGCCAUCUUGGAUAAAAACUUGGGGCAGUUUUGGCGAAAGUGGUUGGGAUCACCACAUUCAAAACACCUUGGAGCGUUGUUCCCACCUCUCUUCCUUGAGCGAACAUUUUGUAGGGCACGUGAAAAACGAGAAGUGAGGAGUGCCAAUUCUUCUUCUGGGCAUUGCUCUAGCUGUUCAUCAGUUAGUUGAGACAAAGAAGACAGUGCAUAGCAAUGCGAAGAAGUACCAUCAUUUGAGCUGGUAGGGUUAGUAACAAGAGAAAUUGAUUUAGAACCAGUUCUCCUAGCAAGAAUAUCUAAUUCAUGAGUUUUCAAUUUUGAGUAUAAGAUAUCAAGUGUAAGUGUGCUCAUGACAGUAGACUCUCUAAUAGAUGUAACUUUCAUCUCCCAGAUGGACAUAUCUAAAGCACUCAAAAGCUGCCUAGAAGUCUCAGCAUCAGUAUAGGUAACACCUAAUGCACGUAGAUUGCUGAGAAUCUUAUUAAAGCGAGCAAAAAAUUCAUCCAAAGAUUUACCUGUUUUCAUCUCAAACCUCAUGUACUCCUUUUUGUACAUGUCCUGACGCACUUCCUUAACUGAGUUUGAUCCUUCAUGAUAGCUACAAAGUGCGUUCCAUACCUCAUGAGCGGAUGCAAGGUGAGAGACACGGUCGAAGUCACUCCGUUGUAGACCUUGGAUGAUGAAGUUCCUCGCCUUGUAGUUGUUCUCCACAUGAACCAAGUUUGCUGGCGUGGUCGCAUCGUCUGCGGGAAGCACAUAGGGCUUGGCGACUUUCUCCCAGAUGGCGUAACUUUGCGCCAUGAUGUAUGCCUUCAUCUUCGCCUUCCAGAACUGAAAAUCAACACCAUCGAAAAUACAGGGUUUGGUAGAAUACCUAUCCAUGUCUAGCAAUUCUAAUCAACCGGUUAAGAUAAAUUAGAAAAACCUUGCUCUGAUACCAAUUGAGAGAUCAAGAUAGGCAAUCAGAGGGGGGUGAAUGAUUGCGCGGAAGCAAAUUAUAACUUUUCCAAAAUUUAAAACCCUGAAACUCUAAUCUGUUCGAGAUGGUAAAACAGUUGUAUAUCAAGAUCUGCUGAACCAAAAAAUACGUAUGAGUACUCCAAUUAAAGCUACGGAAAUUAUCUAAUCAACACAACAAGAAUCAGCUUAAACGGAGUUACCAAUCAAAAGUUAUGAUCAAAACAGUAACAGCUGACAGAAAACUGCGAAAAUCAAUCUAGAUCUAAUUUCGAGAACUAGCAAGAAAGAUAGAUUAAUCGCACCACAAACUUCCCUUGAUCUCGUGAAAAAAAAACUGCAGCCAAGUAUUAGAAAGAUCUAACACGGAGAUUUCACCGAGAUUAGAGAAGCCCAGAGAUGACACCACCAAAGAUCACUUUAUUGCCACGAUGUCGAUCGGUUACAGAAAAUGCGUGUCAGCAUCCAAGAACUCUCAAAUAAAUCUAGGCUAAAGAUCUGAGUUCCUCUCCUGAGACACACCCAAAAACCUAGCCUACGCCCCUCUAUUUAAAGAGCUAAACAGCACCCUAAAAAUAGAGCCCAUCUCUGAAACAAAACAGACGGCGGAAUCAUGCGUGAGCCUGGCCGCUCACCUCGUUGCUGCAUGGGCCACGCUGGGCCUGCUCCUCCGGCCUCUAGCCUAUGUACGCUCAGUUGCAGACAUGCAACGAGCAAUGUCUGCUCUUGCGCGUGAGCCUGGCUGACCGCCUCCAUCGCGCACGCCGCCUUCCAUCGAUCCGCACGCCUGCCACAUGG
RNAcentral lists this long non-coding RNA (7772 nucleotides) under Triticum aestivum (bread wheat). RNAcentral describes it as "long non-coding RNA (TAES_LNC021013)". The record is from RNAcentral. Lineage: Eukaryota; Viridiplantae; Streptophyta; Magnoliopsida; Poales; Poaceae.